RNAcentral lists this ribosomal RNA (399 nucleotides) under uncultured bacterium. RNAcentral describes it as "partial 16S ribosomal RNA". It matches the Rfam family "Bacterial small subunit ribosomal RNA", at positions 338 to 734 of the family's 1533-position model. The record is from RNAcentral.
CCUACGGGGGGCAGCAGUGAGGAAUAUUGGUCAAUGGGCGCUAGCCUGAACCAGCCAAGUAGCGUGAAGGAUGACUGCCCUAUGGGUUGUAAACUUCUUUUAUAUGGGAAUAAAGUGCAGUAUGUAUACUGCUUUGCAUGUACCUUAUGAAUAAGGAUCGGCUAACUCCGUGCCAGCAGCCGCGGUAAUACGGAGGAUCCGAGCGUUAUCCGGAUUUAUUGGGUUUAAAGGGAGCGUAGGCGGGUUGUUAAGUCAGAUGUGAAAGCUUGCGGCUCAACCGUAAAAUUGCAGUUGAAACUGGCAGCCUUGAGUACAGUAGAGGUAGGCGGAAUUCGUGGUGUAGCGGUGAAAUGCGUAGAUAUCUCGAAGAACUCUGAUGGCGAAGGCAGCCUGCUGGAC